GUGGGGAAUAUUGGACAAUGGGCGAAAGCCUGAUCCAGCCAUGCCGCGUGUGUGAAGAAGGUCUUCGGAUUGUAAAGCACUUUAAGUUGGGAGGAAGGGCAGUAAGUUAAUACCUUGCUGUUUUGACGUUACCGACAGAAUAAGCACCGGCUAACUUCGUGCCAGCAGCCGCGGUAAUACGAAGGGUGCAAGCGUUAAUCGGAAUUACUGGGCGUAAAGCGCGCGUAGGUGGUUUUGUAAGUUGGAGGUGAAACCCCCGGGCUCAACCUGGGAACUGCCUACAAAACUGCAUGACUAGAGUACGGUAGAGGGUAGUGGAAUUUCCUGUGUAGCGGUGAAAUGCGUAGAUAUAGGAAGGAACACCAGUGGCGAAGGCGACUACCUGGACUGAUACUGACACUGAGGUGCGAAAGCGUGGGGAGCAAACAGGAUUAGAAACCCUAGUAGUCC
This 450-nucleotide ribosomal RNA is filed under the name uncultured bacterium. Its description in RNAcentral is "partial 16S ribosomal RNA". It matches the Rfam family "Bacterial small subunit ribosomal RNA", at positions 354 to 796 of the family's 1533-position model. The record is from RNAcentral.